This 324-nucleotide ribosomal RNA is filed under the name Triticum aestivum (bread wheat). RNAcentral describes it as "partial small subunit ribosomal RNA". Lineage: Eukaryota; Viridiplantae; Streptophyta; Magnoliopsida; Poales; Poaceae. The record is from RNAcentral.
AUGGAAGGAACAAGAGGUGGAAGUGAGCUCCCUACAUAUGAACAAUCUAGGCUUGCAAGUAUUGCAGAAAACAAAACUGGUAUCAAGAGUUAUGCUCGUAGCAGGCAUGAAUUGGCUGAAGAACUUGGCUAUGACCCGCAGAGAGAUGAAAUAUUUGUCAGAGAACAUAUACAUAAAAUUGGAGUUCCUACCGCACAAGCAGAGACACAAAUUAAACAACCUGAAGAAGCAGCUGAACCACCACCAACACUUGCAAUUGAAAUUCAAUUUCGUCGACAAGAUGAACAAGUUUCUACUCUACUAGAGGGCACGGAACAAAUGCAA